RNAcentral lists this ribosomal RNA (231 nucleotides) under Salmonella enterica. RNAcentral describes it as "partial 23S ribosomal RNA". It matches the Rfam family "Bacterial large subunit ribosomal RNA", at positions 1117 to 1346 of the family's 2925-position model. The record is from RNAcentral. Lineage: Bacteria; Pseudomonadati; Pseudomonadota; Gammaproteobacteria; Enterobacterales; Enterobacteriaceae.
CAUCAUUUAAAGAAAGCGUAAUAGCUCACUGGUCGAGUCGGCCUGCGCGGAAGAUGUAACGGGGCUAAACCAUGCACCGAAGCUGCGGCAGCGACGCUGAUGCGUUGUUGGGUAGGGGAGCGUUCUGUAAGCCUGCGAAGGUGGCCUGUGAGGGUUGCUGGAGGUAUCAGAAGUGCGAAUGCUGACAUAAGUAACGAUAAAGCGGGUGAAAAGCCCGCUCGCCGGAAGACC